This 373-nucleotide ribosomal RNA is filed under the name uncultured bacterium. Its description in RNAcentral is "bacterial SSU rRNA". It matches the Rfam family "Bacterial small subunit ribosomal RNA", at positions 28 to 402 of the family's 1533-position model. The record is from RNAcentral.
GACGAACGCUGGCGGCGUGCUUAACACAUGCAAGUCGAGCGGUAAGGCCCUUUCGGGGGUACACGAGCGGCGAACGGGUGAGUAACACGUGGGUGACCUGCCCUUAGCUCUGGGAUAAGCCUGGGAAACUGGGUCUAAUACCGGAUAUGACUCCAUAACGCAUGUUGUGGGGUGGAAAGCCUUGUGCGGCUAGGGAUGGGCCCGCGGCCUAUCAGCUUGUUGGUGGGGUGAUGGCCCACCAAGGCGACGACGGGUAGCCGGCCUGAGAGGGCGACCGGCCACACUGGGACUGAGACACGGCCCAGACUCCUACGGGAGGCAGCAGUGGGGAAUCUUGCGCAAUGGGCGAAAGCCUGACGCAGCGACGCCGCGU